AUGAGCAGACACAAUCCCAUGCCUGUGCCUGUGCCGGUGCCCGAGCCAACACUGAUGCUAGGGUAUGAGCCAACGUUGAUGCUGGGUUAUGCACCGCAGUUCGGGAGCUGCCCUCCGGUCCAGUUAGGUUGGGACCUGUCCAAGAUGGUUGGCGUGCUCCAAUCCGUAUGUGUGUGGUGCAACACAAGGUUCCAGCAUUUUGGCACCGCCGAGCAGCAGAACGAUUCUGUUGGCUUCAUUUGCCCCGCGUGCAAGGACAAGACAUCCGGUCAUCUUGGCACACUCAACAAUGGUUCAUUGCUUUAG
RNAcentral lists this ribosomal RNA (306 nucleotides) under Triticum aestivum (bread wheat). Its description in RNAcentral is "partial small subunit ribosomal RNA". Lineage: Eukaryota; Viridiplantae; Streptophyta; Magnoliopsida; Poales; Poaceae. The record is from RNAcentral.